AAACCAGACAGUGGUGAGGGAUCAGUUAUCAGCGGCUGAGGGAAAACGAUUGGCACUAUUGUAGGUACGGCAGAUUUGGUUCCGAUGAUCCCGCUUCGGCGGUGACGCCCUCGGGCCGUAUCCCACCAGCGGUCACUUGAUUGUGAAUUGAGGACUUUGAUUCGAGACGGUGUCUCGACGAGGAUUUAUUCGGAUACGAUCUUUCUUAUU
Molecule: long non-coding RNA, 210 nt
Organism: Zingiber officinale
Lineage: Eukaryota; Viridiplantae; Streptophyta; Magnoliopsida; Zingiberales; Zingiberaceae
Exons: 4
Source: RefSeq, a predicted model, not a curated record